This 436-nucleotide ribosomal RNA is filed under the name uncultured bacterium. Its description in RNAcentral is "bacterial SSU rRNA". It matches the Rfam family "Bacterial small subunit ribosomal RNA", at positions 340 to 786 of the family's 1533-position model. The record is from RNAcentral.
UACGGGAGGCAGCAGUGGGGAAUAUUGCACAAUGGGCGCAAGCCUGAUGCAGCAACGCCGCGUGAGGGAUGACGGCCUUCGGGUUGUAAACCUCUUUUAGUAGGGAAGAAGCGAGAGUGACGGUACCUGCAGAAAAAGCACCGGCUAACUACGUGCCAGCAGCCGCGGUAAUACGUAGGGUGCAAGCGUUGUCCGGAAUUAUUGGGCGUAAAGAGCUCGUAGGCGGUUUGUCGCGUCUGCUGUGAAAACCCGAGGCUCAACCUCGGGCCUGCAGUGGGUACGGGCAGACUAGAGUGCAGUAGGGGAGAUUGGAAUUCCUGGUGUAGCGGUGGAAUGCGCAGAUAUCAGGAGGAACACCAAUGGCGAAGGCAGAUCUCUGGGCUGUAACUGACGCUGAGGAGCGAAAGCAUGGGGAGCGGAACAGGGAUUAGAUACC